ACUAAGUUUCAACAACGGAUCUCUUGGCUCUCGCAUCGAUGAAGAACGCAGCGAAAUGCGAUAAGUAAUGUGAAUUGCAGAAUUCAGUGAAUCAUCGAAUCUUUGAACGCACCUUGCGCUCCUUGGUAUUCCUUGGAGCACGCCUGUUUGAGUAUCAUGAAAU
This 163-nucleotide ribosomal RNA is filed under the name Ceratobasidium sp. AG-A. RNAcentral describes it as "5.8S ribosomal RNA". It matches the Rfam family "5.8S ribosomal RNA". From Rfam's summary of the family: 5.8S ribosomal RNA (5.8S rRNA) is a component of the large subunit of the eukaryotic ribosome. It is transcribed by RNA polymerase I as part of the 45S precursor that also contains 18S and 28S rRNA. The record is from RNAcentral. Lineage: Eukaryota; Fungi; Basidiomycota; Agaricomycetes; Cantharellales; Ceratobasidiaceae.